CUGAAACAUCUAAGUACCCCGAGGAAAAGAAAUCAACCGAGAUUCCCCCAGUAGCGGCGAGCGAACGGGGAGCAGCCCAGAGCCUGAAUCAGUGUGUGUGUUAGUGGAAGCGUCUGGAAAGGCGCGCGAUACAGGGUGACAGCCCCGUACACAAAAAUGCACAUGCUGUGAGCUCGAUGAGUAGGGCGGGACACGUGGUAUCCUGUCUGAAUAUGGGGGGACCAUCCUCCAAGGCUAAAUACUCCUGACUGACCGAUAGUGAACCAGUACCGUGAGGGAAAGGCGAAAAGAACCCCGGCGAGGGGAGUGAAAAAGAACCUGAAACCGUGUACGUACAAGCAGUGGGAGCACGCUUAGGCGUGUGACUGCGUACCUUUUGUAUAAUGGGUCAGCGACUUAUAUUCUGUAGCAAGGUUAACCGAAUAGGGGAGCCGAAGGGAAACCGAGUCUUAACUGGGCGUUAAGUUGCAGGGUAUAGACCCGAAACCCGGUGAUCUAGCCAUGGGCAGGUUGAAGGUUGGGUAACACUAACUGGAGGACCGAACCGACUAAUGUUGAAAAAUUAGCGGAUGACUUGUGGCUGGGGGUGAAAGGCCAAUCAAACCGGGAGAUAGCUGGUUCUCCCCGAAAGCUAUUUAGGUAGCGCCUCGUGAAUUCAUCUCCGGGGGUAGAGCACUGUUUCGGCAAGGGGGUCAUCCCGACUUACCAACCCGAUGCAAACUGCGAAUACCGGAGAAUGUUAUCACGGGAGACACACGGCGGGUGCUAACGUCCGUCGUGAAGAGGGAAACAACCCAGACCGCCAGCUAAGGUCCCAAAGUCAUGGUUAAGUGGGAAACGAUGUGGGAAGGCCCAGACAGCCAGGAUGUUGGCUUAGAAGCAGCCAUCAUUUAAAGAAAGCGUAAUAGCUCACUGGUCGAGUCGGCCUGCGCGGAAGAUGUAACGGGGCUAAACCAUGCACCGAAGCUGCGGCAGCGACGCUUAUGCGUUGUUGGGUAGGGGAGCGUUCUGUAAGCCUGCGAAGGUGUGCUGUGAGGCAUGCUGGAGGUAUCAGAAGUGCGAAUGCUGACAUAAGUAACGAUAAAGCGGGUGAAAAGCCCGCUCGCCGGAAGACCAAGGGUUCCUGUCCAACGUUAAUCGGGGCAGGGUGAGUCGACCCCUAAGGCGAGGCCGAAAGGCGUAGUCGAUGGGAAACAGGUUAAUAUUCCUGUACUUGGUGUUACUGCGAAGGGGGGACGGAGAAGGCUAUGUUGGCCGGGCGACGGUUGUCCCGGUUUAAGCGUGUAGGCUGGUUUUCCAGGCAAAUCCGGAAAAUCAAGGCUGAGGCGUGAUGACGAGGCACUACGGUGCUGAAGCAACAAAUGCCCUGCUUCCAGGAAAAGCCUCUAAGCAUCAGGUAACAUCAAAUCGUACCCCAAACCGACACAGGUGGUCAGGUAGAGAAUACCAAGGCGCUUGAGAGAACUCGGGUGAAGGAACUAGGCAAAAUGGUGCCGUAACUUCGGGAGAAGGCACGCUGAUAUGUAGGUGAAGUCCCUCGCGGAUGGAGCUGAAAUCAGUCGAAGAUACCAGCUGGCUGCAACUGUUUAUUAAAAACACAGCACUGUGCAAACACGAAAGUGGACGUAUACGGUGUGACGCCUGCCCGGUGCCGGAAGGUUAAUUGAUGGGGUCAGCGCAAGCGAAGCUCUUGAUCGAAGCCCCGGUAAACGGCGGCCGUAACUAUAACGGUCCUAAGGUAGCGAAAUUCCUUGUCGGGUAAGUUCCGACCUGCACGAAUGGCGUAAUGAUGGCCAGGCUGUCUCCACCCGAGACUCAGUGAAAUUGAACUCGCUGUGAAGAUGCAGUGUACCCGCGGCAAGACGGAAAGACCCCGUGAACCUUUACUAUAGCUUGACACUGAACAUUGAGCCUUGAUGUGUAGGAUAGGUGGGAGGCUUUGAAGUGUGGACGCCAGUCUGCAUGGAGCCGACCUUGAAAUACCACCCUUUAAUGUUUGAUGUUCUAACGUUGACCCGUAAUCCGGGUUGCGGACAGUGUCUGGUGGGUAGUUUGACUGGGGCGGUCUCCUCCUAAAGAGUAACGGAGGAGCACGAAGGUUGGCUAAUCCUGGUCGGACAUCAGGAGGUUAGUGCAAUGGCAUAAGCCAGCUUGACUGCGAGCGUGACGGCGCGAGCAGGUGCGAAAGCAGGUCAUAGUGAUCCGGUGGUUCUGAAUGGAAGGGCCAUCGCUCAACGGAUAAAAGGUACUCCGGGGAUAACAGGCUGAUACCGCCCAAGAGUUCAUAUCGACGGCGGUGUUUGGCACCUCGAUGUCGGCUCAUCACAUCCUGGGGCUGAAGUAGGUCCCAAGGGUAUGGCUGUUCGCCAUUUAAAGUGGUACGCGAGCUGGGUUUAGAACGUCGUGAGACAGUUCGGUCCCUA
Molecule: ribosomal RNA, 2423 nt
Filed under: Escherichia coli
Lineage: Bacteria; Pseudomonadati; Pseudomonadota; Gammaproteobacteria; Enterobacterales; Enterobacteriaceae
Description: partial 23S ribosomal RNA
Rfam family: Bacterial large subunit ribosomal RNA
Source: RNAcentral